This is a long non-coding RNA of Mustela erminea (ermine), 1933 nucleotides long. RefSeq lists it as uncharacterized. NCBI's taxonomy places the organism in Eukaryota, Metazoa, Chordata, Mammalia, Carnivora, Mustelidae. The record is from RefSeq and is a predicted model, not a curated record. The transcript has 3 exons.
GUCACUAACUUUUUCAGAUAUUUUUGAGAACUAAGAACUGUGUGACUAGAUACUUACAUUCUAACCCUUGCCCCCUUUAAUAACUACUUUUUAAAAUAAACAAUGGAAACCAUCUAAACACGUGGCAAGGCUCUAUACAUUUUUAGAGAAUUUGGCAUUUAAUAUAAUUGUUUAUAUAGCUGAAUUCAGUGACUAAAGAGGCUCAGAGAUUAGAUCUUUGGAAAAUAUGUUCACCAGCCAUCUAGCAUCUGCUUAACUAGAAAAGAGUCUAUUUAAAAAAAAAAAAAAAAAAAAGACAAAAUGACAGAUCCGAGAUAUGAGGAGAGGAAAGAAAUGGGCAGAAAUGGGAUAUGAUGUUUGAUGACACUAAUAUUUGAAUUGGCAUAAAAUGCCCCAGUGCUUACAAAUUGAUUCCCUACCUACACUUUAUUCCUGUCCAGUGCUGCUAUAUAGGGCCAUCUGUAAAGUGCAGCCCAUCACUAGGCAAGCACAGUAUCAGUGUUGUGCAGGCAGGCUACAUUGAGACCCAAUACACUGGCCAAUCAUGGGAAUACUGGGUCAUCAUGAUCAGCCACCAGGAGUUCUCUAUAUAUGAUGACACCCAAGCCCACCUGAAAAAGAAAAAAAAUAGUGAAGGAGACAUUUGCUAUCUGGGCCAGGACACUGGGAUUAACAUCCCAGAUAAACAGAAGAGACUAAGGCUGCCCCAAUCCCCAGGGGUAGAGAGUUAACCAGGAGAGCAUGGAUUCGCCAGGAGAGGCCUCAGUCUGAGAUGCUCCUAGAUUGUCUUAGAGGACUGCUUUUGAGUGUGACAUCACAGGGCCACUAGAAAGAUGAAAAGCAUAGGUUGCUGGAGGACAUCAUUUUCACCACAUGGCAAAAGCUUGGCUGCAGUAGGAGGGAAUGAAGCCAAUGGAAACCACAAUGAGAGACUACCUUGGGGUGAGCCUCCUGAUGAUCUUCUUGGAGGCCCUGAAACUACUUGAGGUUACUAGUUCUAUUUCCAGACUUCCCAGUUACGUAACCCUUUGGGCUAAGCUGAGGAGAGUUGGUUUUCUGGCAUAUACAACCAGAAUGAACAGACCAACUCAGUAGUUGUUUGGCAUUAUGUAUUUCCUCAUACUUAUGGGAGUAGAACCACAGAAAUGAGAGCUUAUAACUCAAACAUGCUAAAAAAUAGUACUCUAGAACAUAGAGAAACAGAAUAAAAGGAUUGUGGGAGUAGGGGCCAUUAUUUCCAUAGUAUAAUUGGCAUUGUAAUUAAUAAUCUAGCUAAUUACAUCUAUUACACCUUUCUUCUGAAUGUCUUUAUGUACUAAUUCACUUAAUCCUCCCCAAAACCCACUGAGGUAGGUGCUAAUAUUAUUGUCCCCAUUUUGCAGGCGAGGAAAAUCAAGGCAUAGAGACUGAGUAACUUGCCUGAUGUUUUCCAGCUAGGAAAUGGAAGACCUGUGGUCCAGAUUCCAGUUGAUGACAUGUUGGUAGCUUGAAGUCAGCCUCAGUGUGAUUAUUGAAACCAGAUCAGCCAAUGGUACAUAUCAGGGCUCCUCUCCUUCUAUAAAGCCGGCUGGUCAAGCUACCUGUGAUGGAGCCCAGGCUUCCAAAGAAGAAGCAGAUUGCAGAGUGGGAAUGAUCGAAAAGACUGAUCAUUGAGAAGACUGAUACUCUAGCGCUGGUGAAAGUUUGGGGAACUUCGGAUGGUUGUGUAAAUCGGUGCAAACUUGCUGGGGGAAGGAUACUUCUUGGAGGAAAAAUUUGGCAACAUGUAGAAAAGCCUUUUUUAAAAGUCUUGGCUGGAGAAAGGGAUGAAAGGAUGGGGUAACUGGUGAUGGACAUUGGAGAGGGUCAUGUGUUGUAAUGAGCACGGGGUAUUAUUUAAGAGUGGUGAACCACAGACCUGUAUCCUGACACAAAUAAUACAUUAUAUGUUAAU